RNA transcript from Musa acuminata AAA Group (dessert banana), 2081 nucleotides. RefSeq lists it as uncharacterized. The record is from RefSeq and is a predicted model, not a curated record. The transcript has 6 exons. NCBI's taxonomy places the organism in Eukaryota, Viridiplantae, Streptophyta, Magnoliopsida, Zingiberales, Musaceae.
AUUCUCAACGGGCCGGGUAGUGGAUCGAGGAACGAUCCCUGGCCGGCUCCGGAUCCGCUCUCGUCAAGCGGGCGACGGGGUGGGGAUUCUGCUCAGGUGAUCGGCGCCCUUUCUUCUUCUUUGGAAUCGAUCGCAUCCUUUUUCGAUCGUGUUGAUUGAUUGUUCUUGUUCUUGAUCGUGUUUUUCUCUUGCCGGUUCCUUUGAAGAUCGGGAUCUGGUUUUCUAUCUUGCUAUUGUUCGAUCGCCUUUCCUCGGUUGAUCACCGUUUCUUGUCCUGUUAUUGUCGCCUUCGAUGAAAUCUUUGAUCUGACUGCGUCCCAAAUCAAAAUAUUCGUGGGCGGAGUCGGACCGGGCACAUGUUCCGUUGUCUUCACUCGAUUGUACUUCUUGUAGGCUGGAUCUUGUUCUUGUGCUCGAUCGUGUUUGUUCUUGCCGGUUCCUUUGAAGCGCUGGAUCCAGAUCUCCAUCUUGCUAUUGCUUGAUCGCCUUGCUUCAGUGGAUCUGUGAAUUAGCAGGGUUUUUGGGUUGAUCGGCCUUUCUUGUUCCGUUAUUGUCGUCGUCGAUGAAAUCCUUGAUCUGACCGCAUCCCAAUUCGAAAUAUUCGGGACCGAACCGUACCGGGUACAUCUUCCGUUCUUUUCACAUGUUUGUUCUUCUUGUUGGCUGAAUAUUGUUCUUGUGCUCGAUCGUGUUUGUUCUUGCCGGUUCCUUUGGAGAUCUGGAUCCACUUCUCCAUCUUGUUAUUUCUUGAUCGCCUUGCCUCGGAGGUCUGAGGGCGUCCCGAUUCAAAAUAUUCCGGACCGAAGCGGUUCGGUUCAUUAAGUUUCCUCCGCGGCCAAAGAGGUGCGGCAUUCUAGGUUUUAGGUUCGACGUUGUCUGUCAUCCUGAGCCCCUGUUCUUGAUCUCUCAUCGCGAUCGAGCGGCGAGUUCUUGGCGCGGAGGCGGAGUCAUGAAGGAGGGGGAGGAGCAGCAGGGGGGCCCCCAGUCGCCGCCCAGCAGUGUUGGUGUCGAUGGCGCCGCUGUCGACUCAGCGAUGCCAUCAUCCGAUCUCAAAGAAAGUCGAAAACUGCCUGGAACAGUUAAUUGGGGUACAGCAACUAUUGUUGGAGUAUUUGCAGGACUGCUAUAUGGUGGAAGCAAAGAGGCUUCUGCAUCUGUGAGCAAGGAUGCAGAAGUUAUGUUGAAGCUUGGGAGUACUCCAGACAAGCGUGAACAGUACAGAAUAAUGAGAGAUGCAAUGGAGAAAAGAUUCAUCCGCGUAGCUCGUGGUUCAAUUGUUGGUGGUGUUCGCCUUGGCAUGUUCACUGCAGCAUUUUAUGGCUUGCAAAAUCUCCUGGCUGAAAAGCGUGGUGUGCAUGAUGUGUAUAAUGUGGCUGGUGCUGGUUCUGCAACUGCUGCAAUGUUUGGUCUUAUAAUGCCAGGUUCCUUGACGUGGCGUGCUAGGAAUGUGUUGCUUGGUUCAGUCCUGGGAGCUGGAAUUUGUUUCCCUUUAGGUUGGGUACAUCUGAAGCUGAUGGAGAAGGCAAAUGAAGAGAGAUUAAAUUCUAAACCUUCUGAUCUGGAUGAGGAGGAAGAGACCAAUAGAAGCCGUGUUGGUGCUGCCAUAGAGAGGCUUGAGGGGAACCUACGCCGGUAGCAGUUAUCUAUUACCUUGUGGAAGGGAAAAAUAAAGCAGACCAGGAGGAAAUAAGCAGGCAGAUAAGGCUCAGCUGAGCAACAGAAGAAUUUACUGGUUUUCUUGACCUUGCGCUGUGCGAGACAGUAUGGUUGAUCCAGAAUUUUCACUGAUUUCUUCAGGAGUAAUGAUUCUUUGCUCAAACCAAAUCUGUGUGUGGUAACCACAAACUACUUGGUUUCCAUACACGGAAGGCCAAGGCCUUUGAGCCAUCAUGGAUAGAUGUUGUCUCGGUAAACAAAUGGAAGGUUGACUUUGAUUUGCUGUAACCUACGGCAAAUCUGCAUGAGUUUUAAUGCCCUUUUUAGGGAACAGUAAAGCUUGGAUAUAUUUCUGGUUUGGCAUUGGGGUUAGAAGCGGGCGGCACCGAGUUGGCAUCCACGGCAACCCAUUCGGUAUACAUGAG